CCUACGGGUGGCAGCAGUGAGGAAUAUUGGUCAAUGGACGCGAGUCUGAACCAGCCAAGUAGCGUGAAGGAUGACUGCCCUAUGGGUUGUAAACUUCUUUUAUACGGGAAUAAAACGCGACACGUGUGCCUUUUUGCAUGUACUUUAUGAAUAAGGAUCGGCUAACUCCGUGCCAGCAGCCGCGGUAAUACGGAGGAUCCGAGCGUUAUCCGGAUUUAUUGGGUUUAAAGGGAGCGUAGAUGGGUUGUUAAGUCAGUUGUGAAAGUUUGGGGCUCAACCGUAAAAUUGCAAUUGAUACUGGCAGGCUAGAGUACAGUUGAGGUAGGCGGAAUGCGUGGUGUAGCGGUGAAAUGCUUAGAGAUCACGAAGAACCCCGAUUGCGAAGGCAGCUUACCAAACUGUGACUGACAUUGAGGCACGAAAGUGUGGGUAGCAAACAGGAUUAGAUACCCCAGUAGUC
RNAcentral lists this ribosomal RNA (460 nucleotides) under uncultured bacterium. Its description in RNAcentral is "partial 16S ribosomal RNA". It matches the Rfam family "Bacterial small subunit ribosomal RNA", at positions 338 to 795 of the family's 1533-position model. The record is from RNAcentral.